This 572-nucleotide long non-coding RNA is filed under the name Equus caballus (horse). RNAcentral describes it as "lncRNA (ENSECAG00000045316.1)". The record is from RNAcentral. Lineage: Eukaryota; Metazoa; Chordata; Mammalia; Perissodactyla; Equidae.
GAGAACAUCACAUCUACAGGAACACAGAGCCCCUCCGUGUGAGCUACUGUUCCUGGGAAAGCUGGUCAUACCAAGGACAGCCCUUUGGCAAGCAUGCAGCCUUUGUUCCUCUGCCUACUUAAGCAAGCUUCUUUUGGGGGGGCGGUUGCGGGUGCACACCUCCAUCCAGUCGGCCGCCACUGGACACGCUCCCGAAUUGGUCCAUGUGAUGGCGGGAGCUGGCAAUUCUGAAAUCCACAAGGCAAGCAGCGGGCUGGAAACUCAGGUGCAGAAGACAGCCAAGCAAGUGGAGAUGCCCCUGUAAGCACACGCAGCCGCAAGAUCUUCUGAAGCAUCCAUCACAAGUUCAAGAAAGCACAAGAGAAGUGAAUCAGAAUACCAGAUGGAAUUAGCUGGAGCAGAACCAAGAGUCCCAGGAGAACUCUGCCGAUCCAAGUAAUGCACUGUGUAUGGAGAGCCCUGGAGACCCUACAACUAUCUGCUGCAUCUCCAGAGGAGCCUGUGGAGACAUGGCCAACCACGUAGAGACCAAAUGUUACACCAAUAGGCUACACAGAUUGUAAUUAUUAAAA